This is a non-coding RNA of Pelobates cultripes (western spadefoot toad), 404 nucleotides long. Lineage: Eukaryota; Metazoa; Chordata; Amphibia; Anura; Pelobatidae. The record is from the annotation of a GenBank genome assembly.
ACCUUUCCUGGAAGAUUAUGAAUGGACUGUUCACUGCUGAGCUCUAUACUGGCAUAUUUCAUUGGCAUGUGAAAUAAAAGUUUUAUAUGUAACUCUGCAUGAAUAUGUAGGACUGAUCCCUGCUGUGUGCAUCUGCUGACCGUUUGCUCUAUUCUGUUCUAUACAAUUGACAUGUUGAAUAACAGUUUUAUUGUACAUCUGGAGGAUUAUGAAUGGACUGUCCCCUGCUGUGGGUAUAUAGUGGAUGCAUUACUCUAUCUACUGGCAGGGAAAUUAAAUAGAGCUGAUAUCUUACUCCGCUCCCUACUCCCACUGGACCUCACAACCAUUGGAUACACUCCUUCCCCACAGGGAUACACCUCCCAGGACACAGUAGUGGAGGCACAUAACGGAGUGAUUAACAG